This is a long non-coding RNA of Cyprinodon tularosa, 782 nucleotides long. RefSeq lists it as uncharacterized. NCBI's taxonomy places the organism in Eukaryota, Metazoa, Chordata, Actinopteri, Cyprinodontiformes, Cyprinodontidae. The transcript is spliced from 2 exons. The record is from RefSeq and is a predicted model, not a curated record.
GAAGGCUAAUCAUGUUUUGGGUGUACUAUUCCUUCAAAGUUCUCCGGCAUAGUGGCAGAUUUCCAGCUUGCAUCAACUGUGGUUGUAUUAGAAGAAAUGGGAUUGUGUAUUGAAAUGCAUAUUUUAAAACCAUCAGAAAAGGUUUCUGCUCCAGAUAGUUAACAAGCUAGCUGUUAACUGAUGCAGGGCUGCCGAUAGCACGGCUUGGUAGUGAUCUGAAAAGGGGUCCCUAUGUCCUCCAGCAGUCUAAGCCUAUAGCAGCAUAACUAUAGAGAUAGCUCUGGAUAACCUGAGCCACUCUAACUAUAAGCUUUAUCAAAAAGGAAAGUUUUAAGCAUUGCCUUAAGAGCAGACAUGGUGUCUCCCUCCGAGGCUAAAACUGGUAGUUGGUUCCACAGGAGAGAAGCCUGAUAACUAAAAGAUUUGUAUCCCAUUCUAUUUUUAGAAGUUCUAGGAACCACUAGUAAACCUGCAGACUGACAGACCGCCUGCAGGAUUAUGUUGGAAAAGAGGAGGAUUUCUCUGACCAUCAGCUCUGUGGACAGGGGAGGAAAUCCAGUUUGGACCAAGAGGAAUCUGAACAUCCGCAGAUAAAAGAAGAGCAUCAAAAGCCAGAACAUCCCUGUAUAAAAGAGGAAACCAUGGAGCUCCCCAUAAGUGAGCAAAAAGAACAGCUUGUUCUUAAGCAGACGAUUAAAGAUACAAGAGAGAAUCCUUUCCCAUGUUUGACAUGUGGAGAAAACUUUCUUAAAAAAAAGCAUUUAAUGGUUCACAUGAGAACU